Molecule: ribosomal RNA, 637 nt
Filed under: Leifsonia sp. So3Pt_173
Lineage: Bacteria; Bacillati; Actinomycetota; Actinomycetes; Micrococcales; Microbacteriaceae
Description: bacterial SSU rRNA
Rfam family: Bacterial small subunit ribosomal RNA
Source: RNAcentral
AAGCCUGAUGCAGCAACGCCGCGUGAGGGAUGACGGCCUUCGGGUUGUAAACCUCUUUUAGUAGGGAAGAAGGGAGCUUGCUCUUGACGGUACCUGCAGAAAAAGCACCGGCUAACUACGUGCCAGCAGCCGCGGUAAUACGUAGGGUGCAAGCGUUGUCCGGAAUUAUUGGGCGUAAAGAGCUCGUAGGCGGUUUGUCGCGUCUGCUGUGAAAACCCGAGGCUCAACCUCGGGCCUGCAGUGGGUACGGGCAGACUAGAGUGCGGUAGGGGAGAAUGGAAUUCCUGGUGUAGCGGUGGAAUGCGCAGAUAUCAGGAGGAACACCGAUGGCGAAGGCAGUUCUCUGGGCCGUAACUGACGCUGAGGAGCGAAAGCGUGGGGAGCGAACAGGAUUAGAUACCCUGGUAGUCCACGCCGUAAACGUUGGGCGCUAGAUGUGGGGACCUUUCCACGGUUUCCGUGUCGCAGCUAACGCAUUAAGCGCCCCGCCUGGGGAGUACGGCCGCAAGGCUAAAACUCAAAGGAAUUGACGGGGGCCCGCACAAGCGGCGGAGCAUGCGGAUUAAUUCGAUGCAACGCGAAGAACCUUACCAAGGCUUGACAUAUACGAGAACGGGCCAGAAAUGGUCAACUCUUU